This 253-nucleotide ribosomal RNA is filed under the name uncultured bacterium. RNAcentral describes it as "partial 16S ribosomal RNA". It matches the Rfam family "Bacterial small subunit ribosomal RNA", at positions 524 to 776 of the family's 1533-position model. The record is from RNAcentral.
GACGAACCGUGCGAACGUUGUUCGGAAUCACUGGGCUUAAAGGGCGCGUAGGCGGGCCUUCAGGUCGGGGGUGAAAUGCCACAGCUCAACUGUGGAAGUGCCCCCGAUACCGGAGGCCUCGAGGGGGAUAGGGGCGUGUGGAACUUCCGGUGGAGCGGUGAAAUGCGUAGAUAUCGGAAGGAACGCCGGUGGCGAAAGCGACACGCUGGAUCCCUACUGACGCUGAGGCGCGAAAGCCAGGGGAGCAAACGGG